Molecule: ribosomal RNA, 915 nt
Filed under: Clostridioides difficile
Lineage: Bacteria; Bacillati; Bacillota; Clostridia; Peptostreptococcales; Peptostreptococcaceae
Description: bacterial LSU rRNA
Rfam family: Bacterial large subunit ribosomal RNA
Source: RNAcentral
GGAGGUCCGAACCCACGAGCGUUGAAAAGCUCGGGGAUGACUUGUGGGUAGCGGUGAAAUUCCAAUCGAGCCCGGAGAUAGCUGGUUCUCCCCGAAAUAGCUUUAGGGCUAGCCUCAAGGUGAGAGAUACGGAGGUAGAGCACUGAAUGUCCUAGGGGGUAUUGCACCUACCGAAGACUAUCAAACUCCGAAUGCCGUCAUCUUAUACUUGGGAGUCAGACUGUGGGUGAUAAGAUUCAUAGUCGAAAGGGCAACAGCCCAGAUCGUCAGCUAAGGUCCCUAAAUGUAAGUUAAGUGGUAAAGGAUGUGGGAUUGCACAGACAACCAGGAUGUUGGCUUAGAAGCAGCCACUCAUUCAAAGAGUGCGUAAUAGCUCACUGGUCGAGUGAUCCUGCGCCGAAGAUUUCCGGGGCUAAAACUUACUACCGAAGCUACGGCAUCAGUAAUGAUGGGUAGGGGAGCUUCCCAUACGGGUUGAAGCAUGACCGUAAGGACAUGUGGACAGUAUGGGAGUGAGAAUGUUGGCAUGAGUAGCGAGAUGUGGGUGAGAAUCCCACAGGCCGUAAACCCAAGGUUUCCAGGGGAAGGUUCGUCCGCCCUGGGUUAGUCGGGACCUAAGCUGAGGCCGAAAGGCGUAGGUGAUGGACAACAGGUUGAUAUUCCUGUACUACCGAUAACCGGUUGAGAGAAGGGAUGACACAGUAGGAUAAGCUAAGCACACUGUUGGUUAUGUGUGCCCAAGCAUUGAGGCAGUCAAAGUAGGCAAAUCCGCUUUGAUAAUGCUGGGAUGUGAUGGGGAGCGAAAUUUAGUAGCGAAGUAGCUGAUUUCACACUGUCAAGAAAAGUCUCUAUCGAGGUUAAAGGUACCCGUACCGCAAACCGACACAGGUGGGUGAGGAGAGUAUCCUAAGGCCA